RNAcentral lists this non-coding RNA (28 nucleotides) under Bombyx mori (domestic silkworm). The record is from RNAcentral. Lineage: Eukaryota; Metazoa; Arthropoda; Insecta; Lepidoptera; Bombycidae.
UGUCAAUUUUGGUGCAGAUGUUGGACGC